UACGGAGGGUGCGAGCGUUGUUCGGAAUCACUGGGCAUAAAGCGCGUGUAGGCGGCCUGCUAAGUCUGAUGUGAAAGCCCGAGGCUCACCCUCGGAAGUGCAUUGGAAACUGGCAGACUGGAGUCCCGGAGAGGAGGGUGGAAUUCCUGGUGUAGCGGUGAAAUGCGCAGAUAUCAGGAAGAACACCAAUGGCGAAGGCAGCUCUCUGGGACGGUACUGACGCUGAGACGCGAAAGCGUGGGGAGCGAACAGG
RNAcentral lists this ribosomal RNA (253 nucleotides) under uncultured bacterium. Its description in RNAcentral is "partial 16S ribosomal RNA". It matches the Rfam family "Bacterial small subunit ribosomal RNA", at positions 524 to 776 of the family's 1533-position model. The record is from RNAcentral.